AUUGAACGCUGGCGGCAGGCCUAACACAUGCAAGUCGAGCGGAUGAAGGGAGCUUGCUCCUGGAUUCAGCGGCGGACGGGUGAGUAAUGCAUAGGAAUCUGCCUGGUCGUGGGGGAUAACGUCCGGAAACGGGCGCUAAUACCGCAUACGUCCUGAGGGAGAAAGUUGGGGUUCUUCGGACCUCACGCUAUCAGAUUAGCCUAGGUCGGAUUAGCGAGUUGGUGGGUAAAGGCCUACCAAGGCGACGAACCGUAACUGGUCUGAGAGGAUGAUCAGUCACACUGGAACUGAGACACGGUCCAGACUCCUACGGGAGGAAGCAGUGGGGAAUAUUGGACAAUGGGCGAAAGCCUGAUCCAGCCAUGCCGCGUGUGUGAAGAAGGUCUUCGGAUUGUAAAGCACUUUAAGUUGGGAGGAAGGGCAGUAAGUUAAUACCUUGCUGUUUUGACGUUACCAACAGAAUAAGCACCGGCUAACUACGUG
RNAcentral lists this ribosomal RNA (483 nucleotides) under uncultured bacterium. RNAcentral's name for it is "partial 16S ribosomal RNA". It matches the Rfam family "Bacterial small subunit ribosomal RNA", at positions 30 to 507 of the family's 1533-position model. The record is from RNAcentral.